AACUUUAUAGAUGAAGAGUUCAAAGGAGAGACAACUAUAAUUGGAUUUUUUUUUACCAUAAAUGGAGGUUGAAAUCAUAAAUGGAAGGAUAACUGACAAGCACCCAUCAAAUGAGAAGAAAAGAAAACACAAAAGUCAAGAAGUACCAAUAGAAUUAGACAGCCCCGUUAACUCCAUUCCUUAACUACCCAUAAUCGAGGACAUACUCAAAACCAUAAGUGGAUGAUAU
This 229-nucleotide long non-coding RNA is filed under the name Lathyrus oleraceus (garden pea). Its description in RNAcentral is "Pisum sativum (pea) long non-coding RNA (PSAT_LNC009143)". The record is from RNAcentral. Lineage: Eukaryota; Viridiplantae; Streptophyta; Magnoliopsida; Fabales; Fabaceae.